Molecule: ribosomal RNA, 406 nt
Filed under: uncultured bacterium
Lineage: Bacteria
Description: partial 16S ribosomal RNA
Rfam family: Bacterial small subunit ribosomal RNA
Source: RNAcentral
AUUGAACGCUGGCGGCAGGCCUAACUCAUGCUAGUCGAGCGAGCGGCGGACGGGUGAGUAAUGCCUAUGAAUCUGCCUGGUAGUGGGGUAUAACGUCCGGAAACGGGCGCUAAUACCGCAUACCAUCAGAUGUGCCCAGAUGGGAUUAGAUAGUUGGUGGGGUAACGGCUCACCAACGCGACUGUCCCUAGCUGGUCUGAGAGGAUGACCAGCCACACUGGAACUGAGCCACGGUCCAGACUCCUACGGGAGGCAGCAGUGGGGAAUAUUGCACAAUGGGCGCAAGCCUGAUGCAGCCAUGCCGCGUGUAUGAAGAAGGCCUUCGGGUUGUAAAGUACUUUCAGCGGGGAGGCGUUACCCGCAGAAGAAGCACCGGCUAAAUCCGUGCCAGCAGCCGCGGUAAUAC